RNAcentral lists this ribosomal RNA (439 nucleotides) under uncultured bacterium. Its description in RNAcentral is "partial 16S ribosomal RNA". It matches the Rfam family "Bacterial small subunit ribosomal RNA", at positions 338 to 795 of the family's 1533-position model. The record is from RNAcentral.
CCUACGGGUGGCAGCAGUGGGGGAUAUUGCACAAUGGAGGAAACUCUGAUGCAGCGACGCCGCGUGAGGGAAGACGGUCUUCGGAUUGUAAACCUCUGUCUUUGGGGAAGAAAAUGACGGUACCCAAAGAGGAAGCUCCGGCUAACUACGUGCCAGCAGCCGCGGUAAUACGUAGGGCGCGAGCGUUGUCCGGAAUUACUGGGUGAAACGGGAGCGUAGGCGGGCGAGAAAGUUGAAUGUUAAAUCUACCGGCUAAACUGGUAGCUGCGUUCAAAACUUCUUGUCUUGAGUGAAGUAGAGGCAGGCGGAAGUCCUGGUGUAGCGGUGAAAUGCGUAGAGAUUAGGAGGAACACCAGUGGCGAAGGCGGCCUGCUGGCCUGCAACUGACGCUCAGUCCCGAAAGCGUGGGGAGCAAAUAGGAUUAGAUACCCUUGUAGUC